This 243-nucleotide ribosomal RNA is filed under the name uncultured bacterium. RNAcentral describes it as "partial 16S ribosomal RNA". It matches the Rfam family "Bacterial small subunit ribosomal RNA", at positions 524 to 768 of the family's 1533-position model. The record is from RNAcentral.
UACGAAGGGGGCUAGCGUUGCUCGGAAUUACUGGGCGUAAAGCGCACGUAGGCGGCUUUCUAAGUCGGGGGUGAAAUCCUGGAGCUCAACUCCAGAACUGCCUUCGAUACUGGAGCUUGAGUCCGGGAGAGGUGAGUGGAACUGCGAGUGUAGAGGUGAAAUUCGUAGAUAUUCGCAAGAGCACCAGUGGCGAAGGCGGCUCACUGGCCCGGUACUGACGCUGAUGCGCGAAACUAGGGGGAG